AUUGAACGCUGGCGGAAUGCUUUACACAUGCAAGUCGAACGGUAGAGGGGGCAACCCCUUGAGAGUGGCGAACGGGUGAGUAAUAUAUCGGAACGUGCCCAGUCGUGGGGAUAACGUAGCGAAAGUUACGCUAAUACCGCAUACGAUCUAAGGAUGAAAGCGGGGGAUCGCAAGACCUCGCGCGAUUGGAGCGGCCGAUAUCAGAUUAGGUAGUUGGUGAGGUAAAGGCUCACCAAGCCAACGAUCUGUAGCUGGUCUGAGAGGACGACCAGCCACACUGGAACUGAGACACGGUCCAGACUCCUACGGGAGGCAGCAGUGGGGAAUUUUGGACAAUGGACGCAAGUCUGAUCCAGCCAUUCCGCGUGCAGGAUGAAGGCCCUCGGGUUGUGAACUGCUUUGUACGGAACGAAAGGUUUCUAUUAAUACUAGGAGCUCAUGACGGUACCGUAAGAAUAAGCACCGGCUAACUACGUGCCAGCAGCCGCGGU
This 491-nucleotide ribosomal RNA is filed under the name uncultured bacterium. RNAcentral's name for it is "bacterial SSU rRNA". It matches the Rfam family "Bacterial small subunit ribosomal RNA", at positions 30 to 521 of the family's 1533-position model. The record is from RNAcentral.